This 254-nucleotide ribosomal RNA is filed under the name uncultured bacterium. RNAcentral describes it as "partial 16S ribosomal RNA". It matches the Rfam family "Bacterial small subunit ribosomal RNA", at positions 524 to 777 of the family's 1533-position model. The record is from RNAcentral.
GACGAACCGAGCGAACGUUAUUCGGAAUCACUGGGCUUAAAGGGUGCGUAGGCGGGCACGCGAGUCAGGGGUGAAAUCCCACGGCCCAACCGUGGAAGUGCCUCUGAUACCGCGAGCCUCGAGGGGGAUAGGGGCGUGCGGAACUUCCGGUGGAGCGGUGAAAUGCGUAGAUAUCGGAAGGAACACCAGUGGCGAAGGCGACUUCCUGGCCUGUUCUUGACGCUGAGGCGCGAAAGCUAGGGGAGCAAACGGGG